AAUCUUACAUAGCUAGUAGGUGCCUUGUCGUUGGAUAAGGUUAAAAGGGAAGCCGGUGUGAAUCCGGCGCGGUCCCGCCACUGUUAUUCGGGGAUAACCUCGCAGUACCACUGUUCCAGAUAUGGAAUGGGAAGGAGAGGAAGUCAUGUUACCCGUAAGCCAGGAAACCUGCCUAUUUAGCUUGCCAACG
RNAcentral lists this non-coding RNA (190 nucleotides) under Bacillus sp. (in: firmicutes). Lineage: Bacteria; Bacillati; Bacillota; Bacilli; Caryophanales; Bacillaceae. The record is from RNAcentral.